This 440-nucleotide ribosomal RNA is filed under the name uncultured Brevundimonas sp. RNAcentral describes it as "bacterial SSU rRNA". It matches the Rfam family "Bacterial small subunit ribosomal RNA", at positions 338 to 795 of the family's 1533-position model. Lineage: Bacteria; Pseudomonadati; Pseudomonadota; Alphaproteobacteria; Caulobacterales; Caulobacteraceae. The record is from RNAcentral.
CCUACGGGUGGCUGCAGUGGGGAAUCUUGCGCAAUGGGCGAAAGCCUGACGCAGCCAUGCCGCGUGAAUGAUGAAGGUCUUAGGAUUGUAAAAUUCUUUCACCGGGGACGAUAAUGACGGUACCCGGAGAAUAAGCCCCGGCUAACUUCGUGCCAGCAGCCGCGGUAAUACGAAGGGGGCUAGCGUUGCUCGGAAUUACUGGGCGUAAAGGGCGCGUAGGCGGACAUUUAAGUCAGGGGUGAAAUCCCAGAGCUCAACUCUGGAACUGCCUUUGAUACUGAGUGUAUUGAGUGUGAGAGAGGUAUGGGGAACGCCGAGCGUAGAGGUGAGAUUCGUAUAUAUUCGGAAGCACGCCAGUGGCGAAGGCGACAUACUGGCUCAUUACUGACGCUGAGGCGCGAAAGCGUGGGGAGCAAACAGUAUUAGAUACCCUUGUAGUC